This 253-nucleotide ribosomal RNA is filed under the name uncultured bacterium. RNAcentral's name for it is "partial 16S ribosomal RNA". It matches the Rfam family "Bacterial small subunit ribosomal RNA", at positions 524 to 776 of the family's 1533-position model. The record is from RNAcentral.
UACGGAGGGGGCAAGCGUUAUUCGGAAUCAUUGGGCGUAAAGGGCGCGUAGGCGGCUAGGCAAGUCAGGGGUGAAAUCCCUCGGCUCAACCGAGGAAUUGCCUCUGAAACUGCCUGGCUCGAGGCCGGGAGAGGGUAGUGGAAUUCCCAGUGUAGCGGUGAAAUGCGUAGAUAUUGGGAGGAACACCAGUGGCGAAGGCGGCUACCUGGACCGGUUCUGACGCUGAGGCGCGAAAGCGUGGGGAGCAAACAGG